CGGUCCCGGCGGCAGAAAUAGGGCAGCCGCGGCGGUGGUGCCACAGCAGCGGGCCGCGGCGGCUUAGAGAGCUGGAGCCCCGACAGCCUCCAGCGCGCCCAGGACCCGCCGACAGCCAGAGAGACCGACCGAAGGACGCGGGACCGGGUCUCCGCUGCCACCACGGGGCGCUCCCUCUCGCCCUCCGAGUCCGGCCACCUGGUCUUCCCCUCGGCCCCCGGCCGCCUCAGACUCAACAAAAUGAAACCAGGAUGCUUUUGGCUGCAUCUCACACUGCUUGGAGCCUCCCUGCCUGCUGCGCUGGGGUGGAUGAACCCAGGAACCAGCAGAGGAUUGAACAUGGGUGUGGGAGAGUCCCGGGAAGAGGAAUCCAGACGCCUUGAAGUCACAAGAAGAGAAGGGACUGCAGGAACUCAAGUCCAGGUUUGCUUGUGAGAACUACGUCUUCUACCUUCUAGUAUCAGAGAUGGGAUCUGGCGAACUGGCUUAUUCAUGAUAAUGUUUACAGUCUCUCCAGAGAGGCCUCAUCUUUUGAGUGAAGUUUGAAGUAAUAAUUUAGUUCCACCCAGUGAAAACCACUUCAACAAUAAAAAAUGGUUUAUGGUUUGAGGUAUUUCAAUAUCUGGGAACAUGUGCCACUGUGAAAAAUAUUUCUGAUUAGAUUUUUACAACUUUAGUUAAGCUGAAAUAGAUAUAUGCAAUUAAUUUCCCUUCUGAAAACAAUGCAAUGGUGUUUUAUUUUCCCUGCCAGAGUUCCUCUAGCACAUUCGUUUUCUGAUCACUGAGGUAAAUAUAUAUAUGGGUGGUAACUUCUGAAAUCUUUUAGUGGAAAUUGAAGUUUACUUGCUUUCAGUAAUACCUGGCCUCUCAUGAGAGGGUGUCUUUUGUAUGAUUUAUGGAAAUCACCACCAGUCAGCCCUUUAUUGCAGGGAUGGGAAGAUGAAGUCAGAAACCAAAGUGAGUUCUUGGUCUAGAGUCUGGCCUUUGGCUUUAGCCCUAAUCACGCCUCGACCUCUGUGGUAUUGUCUCCAAAAAGAGCGCCAAUCUUUAAAAGUGAGCAAAUACCAUAUUGACUUUCAAAUCUAAAAACCUCCCCCGGGUUUAGUUCUUAUUUUAUGCAGCACAGUGAAAGACACAGAAUGGCCAUGUUACCAAAGUGUGUUCCUAGACCUAAACUUUCCAUACUAUCUGUACCGAUGGGUUAAUAGAACUGGUUGUUUGCUGCUGUCCAUGGUGCUGGAAUCCUGGAUACAAAGGAUCUGGAUUAUCUAGCUAUAGGAUGAAUUUUCUGGCUUUCAUUCUCAUUUGCCAUCAUCUGGUUUUGGACUCAGUGUCCUCUGAACUGCAUCCAUAGCGUAAAUGCAUUGUUUGGAUAUCAAAAUCAAAUGAAAUUGGAUGAAGGUGGGUGGGGCAGGGAAGGCAUAUUUCUUAUUCAAAGGUGUGUUCACAGUGAGUGCGAUAACAUGUAAACUGGAGAGAAAUAGCCAUUAGGAGAGAGGUUGGCAUGAACUUUGGUUUAGAAUGCUAUUCAUUCACUACCCCUGAGUGUGAUUGUUUAGAAUUCAUUUGAGUUAUGGAAUCACAUAUAAACUUAACUGUUUUGGAAUAUUACUGUCCUUGUGUUAGAAAUGUCUUUGAAUAGUAAGGCUAGGGUAUGAAAGAACCACAUGUACUUUUGCUCAAAGACAUAAAAGGCCUUACUGUACCCGGGACUCCCAAUUCCUAGAAGACUGAGUGUCUGAGGAUGAGCAAAAGCAUGGUCAGGCUGUGCUCUAAUCAUCCAUAAUCCCCUUCUCUCUAGAAGCAGCAUGUUUCACAACUGGCAUAUGCCUUGGGUUUGUACUGGUAAAUUUGUCUUGACAUAACAUAAACCUUUUUCUUCCUAUUGUGAACUGAUGUGUUUCUUGCUUGUUUCUGGUAAGGCUGAGUGUUUGAAAAUUCCUGAAAUAGCCCAGUGCCUUAAUGUCAGUGCUUAUAACCCGGCAGGAAGGAAGGAAGAGUGGGUUCCGAGUAUUUUCAAGUCUGAGAUUCACAGGCUUGGGUAGUAGGGUU
Non-coding RNA from Delphinapterus leucas (beluga whale), 2052 nucleotides. NCBI's taxonomy places the organism in Eukaryota, Metazoa, Chordata, Mammalia, Artiodactyla, Monodontidae. The record is from RefSeq and is a predicted model, not a curated record.